This 2784-nucleotide ribosomal RNA is filed under the name Shigella dysenteriae. Its description in RNAcentral is "bacterial LSU rRNA". It matches the Rfam family "Bacterial large subunit ribosomal RNA". Lineage: Bacteria; Pseudomonadati; Pseudomonadota; Gammaproteobacteria; Enterobacterales; Enterobacteriaceae. The record is from RNAcentral.
AGCGUACACGGUGGAUGCCCUGGCAGUCAGAGGCGAUGAAGGACGUGCUAAUCUGCGAUAAGCGUCGGUAAGGUGAUAUGAACCGUUAUAACCGGCGAUUUCCGAAUGGGGAAACCCAGUGUGAUUCGUCACACUAUCAUUAACUGAAUCCAUAGGUUAAUGAGGCGAACCGGGGGAACUGAAACAUCUAAGUACCCCGAGGAAAAGAAAUCAACCGAGAUUCCCCCAGUAGCGGCGAGCGAACGGGGAGCAGCCCAGAGCCUGAAUCAGUGUGUGUGUUAGUGGAAGCGUCUGGAAAGGCGUGCGAUACAGGGUGACAGCCCCGUACACAAAAAUGCACAUAUUGUGAGCUCGAUGAGUAGGGCGGGACACGUGGUAUCCUGUCUGAAUAUGGGGGGACCAUCCUCCAAGGCUAAAUACUCCUGACUGACCGAUAGUGAACCAGUACCGUGAGGGAAAGGCGAAAAGAACCCCGGCGAGGGGAGUGAAAAAGAACCUGAAACCGUGUACGUACAAGCAGUGGGAGCACGCUUAGGCGUGUGACUGCGUACCUUUUGUAUAAUGGGUCAGCGACUUAUAUUCUGUAGCAAGGUUAACCGAAUAGGGGAGCCGAAGGGAAACCGAGUCUUAACUGGGCGUUAAGUUGCAGGGUAUAGACCCGAAACCCGGUGAUCUAGCCAUGGGCAGGUUGAAGGUUGGGUAACACUAACUGGAGGACCGAACCGACUAAUGUUGAAAAAUUAGCGGAUGACUUGUGGCUGGGGGUGAAAGGCCAAUCAAACCGGGAGAUAGCUGGUUCUCCCCGAAAGCUAUUUAGGUAGCGCCUCGUGAAUUCAUCUCCGGGGUAGAGCACUGUUUCGGCAAGGGGGUCAUCCCGACUUACCAACCCGAUGCAAACUGCGAAUACCGGAGAAUGUUAUCACGGGAGACACACGGCGGGUGCUAACGUCCGUCGUGAAGAGGGAAACAACCCAGACCGCCAGCUAAGGUCCCAAAGUCAUGGUUAAGUGGGAAACGAUGUGGGAAGGCCCAGACAGCCAGGAUGUUGGCUUAGAAGCAGCCAUCAUUUAAAGAAAGCGUAAUAGCUCACUGGUCGAGUCGGCCUGCGCGGAAGAUGUAACGGGGCUAAACCAUGCACCGAAGCUGCGGCAGCGACACUAUGUGUUGUUGGGUAGGGGAGCGUUCUGUAAGCCUGUGAAGGUGUACUGUGAGGUAUGCUGGAGGUAUCAGAAGUGCGAAUGCUGACAUAAGUAACGAUAAAGCGGGUGAAAAGCCCGCUCGCCGGAAGACCAAGGGUUCCUGUCCAACGUUAAUCGGGGCAGGGUGAGUCGACUCCUAAGGCGAGGCCGAAAGGCGUAGUCGAUGGGAAACAGGUUAAUAUUCCUGUACUUGGUGUUACUGCGAAGGGGGACGGAGAAGGCUAUGUUGGCCGGGCGACGGUUGUCCCGGUUUAAGCGUGUAGGCUGGUUUUCCAGGCAAAUCCGGAAAACUAAGGCUGAGGCGUGAUGACGAGGCACUACGGUGCUGAAGCAACAAAUGCCCUGCUUCCAGGAAAAGCCUCUAAGCAUCAGGUAACAUCAAAUCGUACCCCAAACCGACACAGGUGGUCAGGUAGAGAAUACCAAGGCGCUUGAGAGAACUCGGGUGAAGGAACUAGGCAAAAUGGUGCCGUAACUUCGGGAGAAGGCACGCUGAUAUGUAGGUGAAGUCCCUCGCGGAUGGAGCUGAAAUCAGUCGAAGAUACCAGCUGGCUGCAACUGUUUAUUAAAAACACAGCACUGUGCAAACACGAAAGUGGACGUAUACGGUGUGACGCCUGCCCGGUGCCGGAAGGUUAAUUGAUGGGGUCAGCGCAAGCGAAGCUCUUGAUCGAAGCCCCGGUAAACGGCGGCCGUAACUAUAACGGUCCUAAGGUAGCGAAAUUCCUUGUCGGGUAAGUUCCGACCUGCACGAAUGGCGUAAUGAUGGCCAGGCUGUCUCCACCCGAGACUCAGUGAAAUUGAACUCGCUGUGAAGAUGCAGUGUACCCGCGGCAAGACGGAAAGACCCCGUGAACCUUUACUAUAGCUUGACACUGAACAUUGAGCCUUGAUGUGUAGGAUAGGUGGGAGGCUUUGAAGUGUGGACGCCAGUCUGCAUGGAGCCGACCUUGAAAUACCACCCUUUAAUGUUUGAUGUUCUAACGUUGACCCGUAAUCCGGGUUGCGGACAGUGUCUGGUGGGUAGUUUGACUGGGGCGGUCUCCUCCUAAAGAGUAACGGAGGAGCACGAAGGUUGGCUAAUCCUGGUCGGACAUCAGGAGGUUAGUGCAAUGGCAUAAGCCAGCUUGACUGCGAGCGUGACGGCGCGAGCAGGUGCGAAAGCAGGUCAUAGUGAUCCGGUGGUUCUGAAUGGAAGGGCCAUCGCUCAACGGAUAAAAGGUACUCCGGGGAUAACAGGCUGAUACCGCCCAAGAGUUCAUAUCGACGGCGGUGUUUGGCACCUCGAUGUCGGCUCAUCACAUCCUGGGGCUGAAGUAGGUCCCAAGGGUAUGGCUGUUCGCCAUUUAAAGUGGUACGCGAGCUGGGUUUAGAACGUCGUGAGACAGUUCGGUCCCUAUCUGCCGUGGGCGCUGGAGAACUGAGGGGGGCUGCUCCUAGUACGAGAGGACCGGAGUGGACGCAUCACUGGUGUUCGGGUUGUCAUGCCAAUGGCACUGCCCGGUAGCUAAAUGCGGAAGAGAUAAGUGCUGAAAGCAUCUAAGCACGAAACUUGCCCCGAGAUGAGUUCUCCCUGACUCCUUGA